CAACAGCUGACUCAAAAGAGCUUUAAAAGAAAGCACCUGAUUUCAUAGUUAGAAAUCAGCAGCAUUAUAACAAGAGUAUUGUUGCCCUCCCUAUGGGAGGGGAGGCUGUGAGAACCUGAGAGGCAGAGGGGUCAAAAAAACAAAUGAGGAAUUGCAGCCCAAGGUGAGGUAGUCAGAAGAUGGAAGCAGUGGGAGGUGCAGCCAGAUCUGUGGGAUCAUACUUGAGGAACAGUAGCAGCAGUGCCUCCUGGAGAUCCUGCAGAAGGAAAGGCUCAGAGAAGGAAAGAGGACUUUGAGGACCAGAAGGCUUGAGGUGCAUCAGAGGGCAUGUUUUGCCUGUGAGUGAGGCAUAUAAGAAAUAUUUGCCUCCACGUGAACUGUGCUUUUAAGACUUGCUCAGCUGUGCAGAGCAUAGAAGAAACUGGAGAGACUGUGGGUGGUACUUUGCCCGUUGCUCAGGCCCAAGAAGGGGCAACGAUGGUGUGGUUCUCAAAGACCGUAUGUUUUUAUUGGGGGUAGGGGAAAGAGGAUCUUGCCUGACUAAAAUCUCAGACUAUCGAAAACUUGGACACCAAAAGUUUGGGUUCCCCAAAUGGCAGAAUGAUCAUGGGAAGGACUGGGCCAGGAGAGACAGGAGAUAACCUGAGUGCUUCAAGUGGGUGUGGGUUUGACCCUUAAGGGAUAGCCUUGGGAAAGUGGAGUCUGUGGGAUGGGGAGAGCCCUGCAUACCAAGGGAAGUAAUUCCCCAGGUAGAGAGGCUGAGAGGGAGAGGGCGCAGCAGAUCCUACCAGAGAGGCUAAAAGAGAUGAAGGCCAAGAGGCAAUCUGCAGCACCAGAAUCUCCUAGGGCAGCAGAGUCCUAUAACCUGCUGGCUGAGGUACAAAGGCAGGAGAGACAGACCCACCUCCCGCUCCACUAACUAAGGUUGGGGUUGAGCUGCAGAGGAUCAGGCUCCAGGUGGAGGAAAUGCAAAGAGAGGAUGGAAGAGGAAGCUAAUGAGCUGAGAAAGCUCAUUAAAAAAGCAGCACAAUUGCAGGCUUGGGCAGAGGGUUGGAAGCAGAGGAAGAGGGAAAGUGUCUGUGAGAAGGGCACAGGGAUGUUGGCUGCAGACAAAAUGGACUCUGCAGAUAUAGCAGCACCAUUUUGGGGUUGCUAAAUCUGUAUAUACAGCACUGAGAGCAGGGGAUAUGAGAGGCCUGCUCUCUUUGGCAUAAAAGCACUGGGUGGUGCUUGUUGCUUUGGAAGAGGCCAGGCAGCAAGCCUGGAAAGAGGAGGAGUUACUGAGGGAAAAGUGAGAGCUGAAGUCCAGAUCAAACUCCUGGAGGAUGUGUGGGAUUUGAAACGGGGCACGCAAAAGGAGCUCUGAGAGAGAGAUGAGUUACUCUGUGAAAUCUCCCAGCUGAAGGGAGAGCUGGAGCAACUACAGGCUGGAAAAUGGACAGGGAAAGGCUGGAGAAAGAAAUGAGGCUCUAUUAGUGGUGCUCAGUUGACGUAUGGACUGUGAGGCUGGCCAAGCCGCGCAGGACCUGGAGUGGCAUAGACUAGGGACUCAUUUCUUCAGAACUGGGGUUAAGGUCUGAGGGGAACCCUCUGGGGGUGUGUUUUGUAUGAUAUGUUUUGUCAAAUAUAUUGUGGAAAGAAGGUUUUGGUUUGGGGGCCCACUAUGCAUGGGCUCUGAUGUAAGGAUGGAUUGUAUAAGGCAUGCCCUAGGGUUGGGCAAGCCCCUAAGAAGGGAAGAGUGUCACCAGGUGAUACUGUCCCUGUAAGAGGAGCAGGACCAAUGCACCUAUACUGCAUUAGCUGACACAACUGAGCUUUAGAAGAGGGCAGCUGGGCUUCCAGGAGACUGGGUGACUCAGUGAGUCAGAGCUAGGAAGCAGGGGCAAAAGGACUGCUAGGGGAAGGAAUCUGGGGAUUGUAGCUCAGGGUGGGCUGAAGAGUUGUUGUUUGAUUAAAAUUGCCUGCAAGAGACUGGGUAUUGCAAACAUGGGGAGAAGCCCUGAUUUGUUACAAUAAUACAAUCCCCAUUUUACACAUAGCUAAACUGAUGCCUAAGUGAUUAACAUAAAGCUGAAUUAGAAACAGGACCAGGAGUCAGGGCACUUGGAUUCUGUGCUGUAACCGUGGGAACGCUCUGCCUUCUAUUUCCUUUAGAUGUAUCUAGUUUUCAGAACAGGCAAUCCCUCUUUCUAUCACUUCAUUGUUUUCUCUCAUUCCCACAUCCAAGUGGCUGAGCAAGUCUGAGGAAAAACGUUUUGAAAGAGACCAGAAUCCACAGGACAGAAAAGCUGCUGCAGUAUCCAAAUGCUCACAAUGGGGGAAAGAAAGCCAGUCUUGUGCAGAGUGGGGAAAGGUAAUCUUUAGUGAAAUAGGAGUCUUUUCUUUAAUGGAUUUAUACUGCAUGCUCCCUCUGUUUACUGUUGCACAAAAAAAGGAGGAAGCUUUUUGUCUUGGUUGUGCUUCUCACUUAUUUUUAUUCUUGCUGGCAGUGCCCAUGAUGGGCAUAGGCUUGGAAAUAUCUCCCAGCUUUCCUCGCCAAUGGUUUUGUUUAUGUACAAAUCCUACAAGCAGAAAAGCUGCCAGAGACUGUUUUUUUGAUUAUCCUGAACAAUGGGAAAGGGGCUGGGUUUGCAUAGGCAAGGGUGCCUAAUGCCAACAAACAUCACUGAAGGAAUUCAAACUGCCUUAUUAUUCUGUUAUACCCAACAUAUGGCUAAAUACUAAAGUAUGAAUGUGUUGCUCUACAAUGACUCUGAUUAAAUCCCAUUACAGUAUGAAUGGCCAAUAUGUUAAUUAAGUAUUUACAAAGAAAACCAAAUUUAAGCCAUUAUUUAUAAAAUGUGAUCUGUGUUUAUCUUGACGACCAAUCGGGAUAUGUUUGUAGCAUAAGCACAAUGCACUUUCAGUGUUCAUAAUUAAGGAAACAAACCCAGAAUGUCCUAUGUCAAAUAGAGUAAGACUGUCUAGUUAAUUGAAUGAUUGUAAUAGUUACAUUGUGUCUUGGUACUUCCCCAUGUGAAGGAAAUAAAGCAGGUAUGAAGUAUGAGCCUUUCAAUGGGUACAUAAUAGUAUCAAUAAAAGUACAA
Long non-coding RNA from Dermochelys coriacea (leatherback sea turtle), 3086 nucleotides. RefSeq lists it as uncharacterized. The transcript is spliced from 2 exons. The record is from RefSeq and is a predicted model, not a curated record. NCBI's taxonomy places the organism in Eukaryota, Metazoa, Chordata, Testudines, Dermochelyidae.